AACCAUUGAGAUCAAGCUCAAAUUGAUGAGUAACUUUGCUGCUCCAUCACUCGGAUCCUUGUCCUGUACUUUAUGCUUCCUCCUUCCCUUGUGUAUGUUUCUGCAAAACCAUUUAAGAUGGAAAAAUAAGAAAGAAAAAACAAUAAUGGUACAUCAGAAAGUAGAAAGAACUGCUGGAUACGGGAACUUGUUUCCUAGUUUAGCAACCAGUGAUUUGUAAAAGUUGAGACAUACACCUAUUAUACAAGCAACAACAGAAGAACCUAAAUUCUGCUGCAGCAUAUUGUUCACUACCACUGAUGGUACACGUUCUCCCGAACUUAUGUGUAGCUUCAAAGCCGCAAAACCAUAGUGUCUGGUUGUUUCUGCUGCAGCUGCACCUAGCACAGACAAGCAUUGGAUUAACAUUGCUGAAAACUGAACCUAAAUAUGCAUCCCAUCAAACAGAAAUAGAGAGACAGGGAGAGAAAGGUGGGAUUGUGUGUAUACCUUCACGCAGCUUGUUAAGAUAAGUGACUAAGACAUGGCGGAGCUUAGCGGCACUUGGCAAAGAGGAGGACUUGGCAUGGGUGGACGAUGCAACAGGGGCGGAGCUUGCCCAUGGGAGGACGUCCAUGUACGGCGGCACGCUUGCUGGAGGAUGGCGAACACUGGCAGUGGCGAGUUCGGUUCCUCGGAAUGGUUGUUGGACACCGGGCCGCAACAGAGCAUGUGAAGCGGCGUCAACCCUUUGGAGCUGGGGCAGCAGCGGCCUGUGGGGAUCUGCGGCGAAGGUGGCUUCCCUAGGGAUCCGCGACAGUGUCGGUGGUGUCGUGGGGAUCCGAUCCCAUCCAGCGUCCCAUCUCCUUCCUCCCGUGCUCUCUUUCCUCUCCUGAUCUUCUCUCUCUCUCUCACCGGUACCCUACGCCAUGCCGCGCCCGUCAGCAAUUGUGCUCCAAGCUCCGGCCGCCUGCCUUCCAGAUCCACCCCCUGAGCACCACUUCCAACCGGAUCCAGCGAGAUCCGGCAGGUAAUCGUCGACCGGGCCACCGCAAGGUCGCGGGGCGGGGCAAGAGCCAGGAGGCGGCCGACGACGCGCGGGGCAUGGCAGGAGGUGGGCGGGGCAGGAGGCGUCCGGCGGCGCGCGGGUCGUGGUAGGAGGUGGACUUGGCGGGGCGGAGCGCCGCGAGGGCGAGGCGAGGCAGAUCGUGGCUGCGUUUUUCCCCUGUGUAAACCGUACCGGUUUG
This 1226-nucleotide long non-coding RNA is filed under the name Hordeum vulgare. Its description in RNAcentral is "long non-coding RNA (HVUL_LNC014252)". The record is from RNAcentral. Lineage: Eukaryota; Viridiplantae; Streptophyta; Magnoliopsida; Poales; Poaceae.